Vigna radiata var. radiata (mung bean) is the source of this 83-nucleotide non-coding RNA. The record is from Rfam. Lineage: Eukaryota; Viridiplantae; Streptophyta; Magnoliopsida; Fabales; Fabaceae.
AGCAAAACGAUGAAGUCAAAACUUGUCUGAUACUGGCAUGAGGAUAUAUUGUUUCAUAAGGUCUUCAAAGUUCUCUAAUUUCU